ACCGCUGCGUCAGGCAGCACACGUACAUUACAGACUAUAGUGAAUGAUUAGUAUAAGCCAGAAUCAGCCCCCAACAGGAUAGGGUACCACGGAUGCAGACGCUUGAGCUGGGGGUACUUGCUGAUCAAAGCAGGGCAGAAGUCUAAGAUUAGGAGAGUCACAUAAAAAAGGUUCUGGGACUGUGUCCUUGGGGACAUGCUCUGGAGUCUGACAUUUUCAGCAUCGCUUGGGAGCACUGCAGAAAAGCACAAAUGCUUACCUACCUGGUAGGAACGUGGAAAGCACCAGAAAAUAAACUAAAGCUUACCACCACACACACACACACACACACACACACACACACACACACAAAACCAAACUCUGCAGAAUUUACUAUCUUUCCCAGGCCACAGUUCGAGAAUAUUUUCCAGUCUGACCCCCUUAUGCACAAACAUCCUUCCUGGCUUGAAACCCUAAAUGCCCUCACCUGAAAUCUGCAUCCAAGGUACCCUGUCAUCCUCCAGUCCCUCCUUGUUCUCUAGCCUCCAAGACUCCCCUGAAUUCUGCUCUCCCCCUUGCCUGUGUGCUCUGGCCAAUGGCAGAGUCAGCCUGUGCAUCUGGUGGCCCUUCCUAACCCCAAUGUCAGGGAGUUAGCCUGUGACUUCAAGAAAAUUAUCCUUCCCUCAUGUCCACAUCUCACUCGUCAGGUCUAUUCAAGUUGGAAGAACAAAAUCCUCCACUUUGCUUCAAAAGGUCAGUUGCUCUUCCCUUAACAGGUGGGCUGACACCCACUCAAGGUCCACAGGCCCAUCCUGAGCUACCCCAACGAAACCCCGCACCACUGGACCCGCUAGCGCCUCAAAACCCCAAAUCACACCCAACACCCCAAAUCCCUACUCAAGCUUCACAAGGCCUCACGCCCAGUCGGCCUUCUCAGAGCCCAUCCUUCCACCCCCACCUCAUGCCCACUCCUGCUUUCCACACCAAACCCCACACAGGUCUCCCGAGCAUCCACACCAGACUCCGCACGCGUAGGAGUAAAAGCAAGACGACUCAGAUGGGGGAUUCUACUUCUCCAUCCCCGUGACCUGUGUGGAUUCUCUGGGGGAGACCCACACCGACUGUGAGAGAACAACAGAGCAAGCCAAGUGGUGAGAGCCCAAACGUCUGCUCUGAGGGCUACAGCAGGGCAGGGGCCCAGUCAGCUGCCUGGUGAGGCCAGUCAGGGCCGGGAGCCGCUGGGACCUCUCUGUCCACAGGAGGGCAGCUCUCUCCGCCAGGGGCUUGUUAGGGACGCCUUUUGCUUUUCUUCAGUGUCAUGAACCCAAGCUUGGCGGUUAGGGCUGCUGAGGGAGGAGCCUCUGCCUUUUCCCGCUUCUGGAGGCCACGUCCAUCUUUGCCUCACAGCCCCCCUGACAUGGCUGCUUCUCCCUGACCCAGGCUCACGUCGCCUUCUUCCUCUUCUGGACUCCAGUCACUCUCUGCCUCUGCAUUAUGAAGACACGUGUGACUCCAUCAGGCUCCAGUCAGAUAAUCCAGCAGAAUCUCCCAAUAUUGAGACAUUUCACUUUCUCCCAGUUGCAAAAGCCCUUCUGCCCCAGCAGGUAACUUCCCCAGGGCACGGGCGACAGUUCCCAGGUGCAUGGGAGCCCCUUACUCAGCCGGGCGCAGGAUCAGAGGAACUCCAGAAUGUUCUGUGUUCAUACACACCACGUUUAGUAAACAACAUCGUUUUUCUGUACACUUGUCGUGUGUCCUUGAUCAUGGGGAGGUCUUGCCCCAUAGUCAGACCUCCUUAUGCUCCCCCCAACCCACUGUGAGGUCCCCCUGCCUCUCACCACCUCCGACCUUUCCGCCAUUACACAACCUGGGCACGGAUCUCUUUGGGGGCGGUGACUUUAAACACAAAAUGGCGCCGGUUGCACGCUUAUUGGUCAGGACCACUUCCUGUUGGCUUGAGGUCAUGAUGAGUGACUUUUUAAAGCCGCAGCUCUUCCGGGUCAAGUCGGAGAGUUAGUAAGUGGAAAUCAUGAGCAGACUAGCUGCAUAUUCUUUUUUUUUCUGGUCGUGGUUUUUAAUUAUUUUUAUUCUACUGUUUUUUUGCCUAAUGAAGUACCUCCGAUUUAAUCGUUUUCAUUUCUCAGUUCUUUUACGUUUCUUUAACUUUUUAAAAUCGUUUUUCAUGUAUUCACUUUUUCCGUUAAUAAAGUUAAUGAUUAUUGAAAUUUUACUGGAACAAAUGCCUGAGAUGAGAGAAUUCCUAACGGAUCAGUGCACUGGAGAAAGAGCAUGGCAAAUGGAAAAGGAAAUGAUGUUAAAGCUGGUGACUUCGUUUCUAAUUGGAUGAUGCAUCGUUACCGACCACAAGUAAAUGUGGUUUAAUUAUUUCUUAUAAAUCCUUUGCCAUGUCUGCACUUUGUCGUACGAUGGGAAAAAAAACCGUUACUUAUGAUUUGGAAUAUGACUAAUACAUAAAACGUGAACAAAAGGAAUCUAUGAAACAAUUACAUAUGAAUUGGAAAUGACAUUUAAAAAACUAACCACAGCGAUUUGGGAUGAAUGACGAAUUAUAAAUCAUGUAUGUUACGUUCACCAGUUCAAGAGAGCAGAUACACUCUUGUAUCCUUUGCUGAGCUGAUAACGCAUGUGUGGUAUCAUCCACGACUCAGAAAUAUCAAUCGUGAGCGGUUUCUUUGAUCUCACCCACUCUGCCCCCCUGACAAAGGCAACAUGGGAAUAAAGUGUCAUUUACCCGG
Long non-coding RNA from Microcebus murinus (gray mouse lemur), 2735 nucleotides. RefSeq lists it as uncharacterized. NCBI's taxonomy places the organism in Eukaryota, Metazoa, Chordata, Mammalia, Primates, Cheirogaleidae. The record is from RefSeq and is a predicted model, not a curated record.